RNAcentral lists this ribosomal RNA (813 nucleotides) under uncultured bacterium. RNAcentral describes it as "bacterial SSU rRNA". It matches the Rfam family "Bacterial small subunit ribosomal RNA", at positions 52 to 883 of the family's 1533-position model. The record is from RNAcentral.
CACAUGCAAGUCGAACGAUGAAACCUUAGCUUGCUAAGGUGGAUUAGUGGCGCACGGGUGAGUAAUAUAUAGAUAACGUGCCUCUUAGUCUGGGAUAGCCAUUGGAAACGAUGAUUAAUACCGGAUACUCCUUCUCAUUAUAAUUUGAGUUGGGAAAGUUUUUCGCUAAGAGAUCGGUCUAUAUCCCAUCAGCUUGUUGGUAGUGUAAGAGACUACCAAGGCAAUGACGGGUAGCGGGUUUGAGAGGAUGAUCCGCCACACUGGUACUGAGACACGGACCAGACUCCUACGGGAGGCAGCAGUGAGGAAUAUUGCACAAUGGAGGAAACUCUGAUGCAGCAACGCCGCGUGGAGGAUGACGCAUUUCGGUGUGUAAACUCCUUUUAUAGGUCAAGAAAAUGACGGUAGCCUAUGAAUAAGCACCGGCUAACUCCGUGCCAGCAGCCGCGGUAAUACGGAGGGUGCAAGCGUUAUUCGGAAUCACUGGGCGUAAAGGACACGUAGGCGGGAAGCCAAGUCUGAUGUGAAAUCCUAUGGCUUAACCAUAGAACUGCAUUGGAAACUGGUUACCUAGAGUAUGGGAGGGGGAGAUGGAAUUAGUGGUGUAGGGGUAAAAUCCGUAGAUAUCACUAGGAAUACCUAAAGCGAAGGCGAUCUCCUGGAACAUUACUGACGCUAAGGUGUGAAAGCGUGGGGAGCAAACGGGAUUAGAUACCCCGGUAGUCCACGCCCUAAACGAUGUUCACUAGUCGUCGGGAUGCUAGUCAUCUCGGUGAUGCACUUAACAGAUUAAGUGAACCGCCUGGGGAGUAC